GAUGAACGCUGGCGGCGUGCCUAAUACAUGCGAGUCGAGCGAACAGACGAGGAGCUUGCUCCUCUGAUGUUAGCGGCGGACGGGUGAGUAACACGUGGAUAACCUACCUAUAAGACUGGGAUAACUUCGGGAAACCGGAGCUAAUACCGGAUAAUAUAUUGAACCGCAUGGUUCAAUAGUGAAAGACGGUCUUGCUGUCACUUAUAGAUGGAUCCGCGCCGCAUUAGCUAGUUGGUAAGGUAACGGCUUACCAAGGCGACGAUGCAUAGCCGACCUGAGAGGGUGAUCGGCCACACUGGAACUGAGACACGGUCCAGACUCCUACGGGAGGCAGCAGUAGGGAAUCUUCCGCAAUGGGCGAAAGCCUGACGGAGCAACGCCGCGUGAGUGAUGAAGGUCUUCGGAUCGUAAAACUCUGUUAUUAGGGAAGAACAAAUGUGUAAGUAACUGUGCACAUCUUGACGGUACCUAAUCAGAAAGCCACGGCUAACUACGUG
RNAcentral lists this ribosomal RNA (497 nucleotides) under uncultured bacterium. Its description in RNAcentral is "partial 16S ribosomal RNA". It matches the Rfam family "Bacterial small subunit ribosomal RNA", at positions 28 to 507 of the family's 1533-position model. The record is from RNAcentral.